RNAcentral lists this ribosomal RNA (446 nucleotides) under uncultured bacterium. RNAcentral describes it as "partial 16S ribosomal RNA". It matches the Rfam family "Bacterial small subunit ribosomal RNA", at positions 338 to 795 of the family's 1533-position model. The record is from RNAcentral.
CCUACGGGAGGCAGCAGUCGAGAAUCUUUCACAAUGGGGGAGACCCUGAAGGUGCGAAGCCGCGUGGGGGAAUGAAGGUCAUCGUAUUGUAAACCUCUGUUAUGUGGGAGCAAAUUAAAAAGAUAGUACCACAAGUGGAAGAGACGGCUAACACGGUUCGAGUAGCUGCGGUAAUACAGAGGUGUUAAGAGUUGUUCGGAAUCACUGGUCGUGAAUUGUGCGUAGGCUGUUUCGUAAGUCGUGUGUGAAAGGCGCGGGCUCACCCCGCGGACGGCACAUGAUACUGCGAGACUAGAGUAGUGGAGGGGGAAGCGGAAUGCUCGGUGUAGCAGUGAAAUGCGUAGAUAUCGAGAGGAACACUGGUGGCGAAGGCGGGUUCCUGGACAUUAACUGACGCUGAGGCACGAAGGCGAGGGGAGCGAAAGGGAUUAGAUACCCGGGUAGUC